This 465-nucleotide ribosomal RNA is filed under the name Vreelandella stevensii. Its description in RNAcentral is "partial 16S ribosomal RNA". It matches the Rfam family "Bacterial small subunit ribosomal RNA", at positions 338 to 795 of the family's 1533-position model. Lineage: Bacteria; Pseudomonadati; Pseudomonadota; Gammaproteobacteria; Oceanospirillales; Halomonadaceae. The record is from RNAcentral.
CCUACGGGUGGCUGCAGUGGGGAAUAUUGGACAAUGGGCGAAAGCCUGAUCCAGCCAUGCCGCGUGUGUGAAGAAGGCCUUCGGGUUGUAAAGCACUUUCAGUGGGGAAGAAAGCCUUGGGGCUAAUACCCUCGAGGAAGGACAUCACCCACAGAAGAAGCACCGGCUAACUCCGUGCCAGCAGCCGCGGUAAUACGGAGGGUGCGAGCGUUAAUCGGAAUUACUGGGCGUAAAGCGCGCGUAGGCGGUCUGAUAAGCCGGUUGUGAAAGCCCCGGGCUCAACCUGGGAACGGCAUCCGGAACUGUCAGGCUAGAGUGCAGGAGAGGAAGGUAGAAUUCCCGGUGUAGCGGUGAAAUGCGUAGAGAUCGGGAGGAAUACCAGUGGCGAAGGCGGCCUUCUGGACUGACACUGACGCUGAGGUGCGAGAGCGUGGGUAGCAAACAGGAUUAGAUACCCGGGUAGUC